RNA transcript from Lotus japonicus, 4264 nucleotides. RefSeq lists it as uncharacterized. The record is from RefSeq and is a predicted model, not a curated record. The transcript has 4 exons. NCBI's taxonomy places the organism in Eukaryota, Viridiplantae, Streptophyta, Magnoliopsida, Fabales, Fabaceae.
AAAAAAAUUCCAAAUGCAACUUUUAUUCAUUUUUCAACCUUCUCUAUAUUCAUUAAGUGUCAAACCCCCUUGAUUCAGACGCACGAGCUCUCUCUCUCUCACGCUCAUCUCUUAUUUCUUUCUCAUCAUCCAAAGCUGAAAUCUUCUUUCUCUGUUGGUGAACGCAACCUACGUAUAGCGGCCCCAUGGAGAUGAAGAAACGCAUACAGCAACCAUCAUGAAUUUCUUUUCCUAUGUGCAAAUAAUCACCGCGCACAGCAACCAGCCAACCAUCACCGUUGUCCACACUAUCAUUCUUCUUCUCCCUUGGCGAGACCCAAACGCACACCAUGGUCCCUCUUCCCUCCCUCACGUGAUUUCUAACUUUGGCAGCCACCACCUCCAUUUCCUUCAACUUUUUCUCAUCUCAAUCUUGAGCUUUUUAGUUAGAGGUUCGUUUGAGGAGAUUCCCAGAAAUCAAGGAGAAGAGCUUGAAGAACAUUUUGAGGAGGAAGCUGGAAGACCCACCGAUGAGUAUGGGGGAUUGGUUUACCAUGGUCAGCCCCUCGGGGGGGACCAGGUACGAGAUGCUUGAUCAAGACGACCCAGGUGCAUGGGUGGUCGAUCCCGAGGGCCACCGUGCGACCUACACCGGUCGGGUCAUGGAGGACCGUGUCGACCGAUUCGGACGCUUGACGGAAGGGGUGAUGAGGAGGCACAUAGUGAGCUUCAAUCCUGCCUCCAGGAGUACACUGUGGACCCGGCUUGGGAGGACCUCCACCGCCACCAUCCCCUUCGGAUGAUGAGGACCCCUCUGAGGAGCUGCCAGUAGGUGGGGCUUCGACGGAGUCUAGUCCGUCUACUGCUGCUGCUGUCGUCGCGGAUCUCGUUCCGGGCCCCGAGCCCGAGAGGCCAGUGCAGGAGCGCAUUAGGGUGGACAGAGAGGGCAGUGUUGAGUAUGUCGACUUAGUCGUCCUGGAUGCAGAUUCGGAUGACGACCGCGCUAGCAUGUAGGAUCGAGUGCUAGUGUGGGCUCCUCGGGUAGGGAUUAGUGUAGGAGUAGUGUCGAUGCUCUGACCGUCAUGCUUCAGUUUUGGGGACAGGGUAGUUUCCUACCGGUAGCUUUUUGUGUGGUUUCCUAUGGGGAUCACAGAGAGCUGGUUGGAUUUUUAGGGGGUCUUUUCUUAGGCCGCUGGGCCAACUUGUUCUCAGAUUUUGAGGUUUAGUGUUGCGGACACAGUAUUUUUACCUUGGACUGUACAUAUUGCCUUCGGGCGUUACUCUUUUUCUGUCACCCGUCACUGGAGGUUACUCGUGACGUGGUUGUGUUUAGCGAGGCAUGUAUAUAUAGUUGUAUAGUAGUUCCUUUUAUCUUUUGUUGGGGAGUUUAUUGCUUUCUGUCUUUAGCUAUAUUGUCGAAAAAAAAUAAUUCACGUUUUUCCGCUCAAGUAUUUUCUUUUGGUUACUAAAGUGACGCCACCGAAAUCGGGGUGUUACAAAUUAAAUUAGAUUGAAAUAAAAGUUCGGACUGCCCUAUUUCCCCUAGGGUGGCCGAGAGCUAUGUUUUAGGGUUGGGGGAGAAAAAUCUUUUCUUCAAACCUAGAGGUGAUGCGUGAACGUCGGAUGAUUUCUGGUAAAUGUCGGGUUGAGUCUAAACUUGAAUGUGUGAUUUAUGCUAAAUGUCGCCAAAAGGUGUCAAAGUGUUUACUUGUGUUUUAAGCAGACUAAAUGUUUAAGUAUGCACUAGGAAUGUGACUAGGUCUAUUACUUGGACAUGAUGAUAUGAUUUGUGUUUUCAAAAUUGAGUUGGAACCUUAAUGUGCUAAGUGCUUAUGUGUGAAACUUGAGUCGAGUCAUACUCAUGCAUUUGGGUUAACUCUUCCAUUGUUGCCUACGUGUUUAACUCCGAAGCUUAGGAAGCUUUUUCCAAUGUUAGUGAACACUUUUAGAUAGAACUGUUUCUUAGUGUCUAAGUAAUGUUGUUUUUGCUUGAGGUAUUGAAUUGGUUGAACCAAGAAGAGUUGAUUUGGAGCAAGCGGAGCGGUUGCAAGACGGAGGAGAAUUACCCAAGACCCUAAUAGGUGUUGCUGCUAGUAGCUGUUGAUCUCCGCAAGAAGGUGAUUGGACUGAUUGACGAGAAGACUUCCUUGGAGUGAGUGAACCAACCGAUCACUUGUAGAAGUAAAAGUUAGAUGUAAGGCUAGAGCCUUGGGUAGAGAAGCUUACUGUCAUUGGUUGAAGCUCGUAAGGAUGGUUGUAUUACUUACUUUGGUCUUGGGUAGGUUCCGCUGCAUGACUCUCCCGCUAAUCUCCAGUGAGGGGAUUGUAGGAAGUAUAUUGGACUUAGGGUGUUAUCGCAUUCUGAACUUUGUUGUUGGUUAUGACAUUACUUCACUGUAUAUUUUAUAUGUCUUGAACAUCUGUCGUCACUUAGGGGUGCUUUCCUUGACAAGCCCGGAUGUAUGGGUUUGGGCAAGAGUAUGCAUAUCAGGUUUUCGAAAUAAAGAAAACGAAAAAAAAAUAUACCCUUAUUUGUAAAUCCUUUUGUAAAAUAAUUUCAUUUUAUUUAAUAGGUUACUAUUUGUGACCCCCGAAAGUCGGGAUGUUACACUAAGCCUCCUGAACUUUUCUAGCUAAUCAUUAACUUAUUCAUCACUUGAAAGCGCAUGCGUAUCAAAAAAAUAAAAUAUCAAGAUGGUUAAAAAGUAAUGAGAGAGAGUCACGUAAAAGAAAGAAAAGGAGAAUAAGGAAGAAGAAAAGAAGAAAGAAGGUGAAAAUAUGAAAGAGGGAAAAUAAAUAAAUAAGCAAGGUGAUAAUUAUAUCUAUUCCCUUUUAAUUAAACCUACUCUAUUUUUCUUAUAAGUAUAUCUAGUCAGUUUUAACUAUGUAUACUCAACUUUAAUUUUAAGGUUACAUAUACUCUCUUUUAUCUAUGUCAACUCUAUUUAACUAUGUCUACCUUAUAACUAAUCUCUUUUGAUCUAUUUAUUCUCUUUUAAUUCUAAGUUUUUGUUUUAUAUUUAGGACAUUGAUUUUUAUUUAACUUUGCAAAUAAAUAUAAUUUGUUAUUACAUUUCCAUGCCUUAAAAUGGUCGGCUUUGUCGCCUCUCUCUAGUUACUUAAAAGUUCAACUUAUUACUAUUUAGUUGCUUACUUGAAUUAAAAAUGGUCAUAGACGACUUCUCCGUCGUUUUAGUUUUAUUUCAUAUUUUAAAAAUGGUCAAUAGACGACUUCUCCGUCAUUCUACUUCUACGCUCCUGACUUAAUUCCCCUAGGUGGUCGUCGCUGCGGGGCGGCAACCCCUUUGUUUGUUUCUUGCCUUUCGUUGUUUGCCCUUCUCCCUUCCUGCUUCCUUCACCUUUCAGUUUUCAAUAAGGCGGUGGCCGCCCUUGCUGUCCGUCUUCCUGUCACGGCGGCGAAGAUUCAAAUCGGCCGAUCUGGGUCGUGUUCGCUGAUAACCUGAGGUUUAUUCUAUGUUGUCGAGUUCUUUUUUAUUUAUUUCUUUUCCUCUUUGAGUCCUUUAUUGAGUUUUAAGUCAAGUUAAGUCCCUUUUUAGUUCAUAAUUGCAUCUGCAUUAGUUUAGGUAUUUUUAAUUUAUUUAUUUGGUCUUUUUAUUAGUUUUAGUUUGAGGUUAAUUCUUAUGGUCAGAUUUGAGUUGAAAUCUUGUGAGAAUAUGGUUGUUGAUGGUCUUUUAGGGGUUUCAUUUGCUGAAUUGAAUGAAGGAUUGAUGAAUUAUCAUGAUUAAUGAGAUGUUUCCAUGAGUUACAUUUUUGUUUUAAUAGGUUCUUGAGAUUCUUUUCAGGUUUGAUAGUUUUUUGAUGGCUAAUGAUGAUGGUUGAAGGCCAAGAAAUGAACAAUGAUGAUUGUUGAAGAGGGAGUUACAAAGUUGAUGAAGAAACUGCUGAGCCACGCAUGUGCGCCAGCUAUGCCACGCACAUGCAUGGUUGUUCUGUGAAAGAAAAGGGUGAACCGUUGAAGGCCACACAUGUGCGCCACUUUGGCCACGCACAUGCGUGGUAAACUGAAUUGAAGGCUGAUUUUGAACAGAUGAUCCACGCAUGUGCGUGGAGGAGGCCACACACAUGCGUGGCAGGUCGCUGAAAAGUCUAUAAAUUAGGAUUUUGUUAUUUCUUUUAGGUUUCUUGUAACUUUUUGAACAACACUUAGAGUUUUAGUUUCUUGGAGCUUGUGGGAGACUUCUUGGCACUCUUAAUUCAGGUUUUUGUUUUUUUGAUUUGCAUUAUGAAUUCUCUAGCCAUGUUUGGCUAGUUUCUCUUUGUACUU